CGUAACUAUAAUUAUCUCUAAAACUUAUAUAAAAUAAGCACAUGCCCUUGUAGUCCUUCCCAUCUCUCUCGUUAUAUAUGCACAUAUGUACAUACACAAAAUAGCUUACCUAACUUUGCCCUUUCAAUACAAUCAUCAUUCCCUCUACUCCUAUUCAAUCAAAGUUAGCUUGAAAUUAUUGAAGAAUUAUGGAUGCCCCUCCCCCGAAGAGAUGACAUAUGUUGAUCACUUUAAGAAGCGACACGGAGAAAAAGGCUGCCUCUAUGCAUGGUGUGUUUACAGAUGUUAUAUAUUUUUACUGCUGUAGAAAAAGCAUAAAAAUUUAUCAAUUCAUUGUAUUUUUCGUUUUAAAAAUCAACAUUUUACAUAUUUUGAUGCAGUUUAUUCACACUGUUUUGCUGUUUCUGCUGCUAUGAGGCUUGUGAGUGCUGCCUUGAUAUUUGCUGCUGCAAUUGUGGAUCUUUAGAUAGUAAUGGAGCAAGAUUAUUUGUUGUUCAUGAGAUGUGUGUCUGAAUUUCAUAAUUUUCUGUAAUUCUAAAGAUUGAAUUCUGUACAAGAUUAUUUGAGUUAAAAAACUAAUUCCCUUCCCAAUAAAUGUUACUUGUGGAAACAAUUCUCCAAAUAGUGAUCUUGAGAUGAAUCUUCAUAGAUUUAAUAAACUAUCUCAAGAUAUUACCAAUAAUGGUGAGACUCUAUAAGAUGAUCGAAAAUCG
This 713-nucleotide long non-coding RNA is filed under the name Olea europaea subsp. europaea. Lineage: Eukaryota; Viridiplantae; Streptophyta; Magnoliopsida; Lamiales; Oleaceae. The record is from RNAcentral.